GCUCAAAUUUUUAAACUUUAUAAUUUUUUUCCGAAAUAUAAUUUAAUAUAAUAUGCCUAAUGCAUUGCAUGUUGCAUAUUUUUUUAUGUUUGUUCUACUUUAAAUAACAUCAAAUAUCAGCAGCAUUCCACUGUUUCAAAAAAUAACAAAUCAAAACAACACAUUACUGAUAUUUGUUAGAUAUAUAUUUUAUUGAUUAGUGUGUACCUUGUUGGAUUUGUGUGGACUGUGAUCAAUGCUCUUAAUCAUCAGGUAUUUGUACCUACAAAUUCCAAAUCGUAGUUAAUGGUAACAAAACACUACCACUACUAAAGAAAAGUAUAAUAAACAGUUAAAUCUUCACUUGUUGUCCAUUUGUUUCAUCAGGUUUGUUGCUAUUUCAUCACAAAUGUUGAGUACAUAAAAAUAAAAAUUUGAUUAGAGAAUGUUCAUUGCGGAUUCAUAUUGUUAGAAUGUACCUUGUCGGAUUCGAAUUGACUGUGGUCGAUGAUCUUAACACUGCCAGCAGGUAUUUUUCCAUCAGUUUUUUGUUCAAUCAUAACUGGUAACUACAGAAAGAAGAUACUAAUUAGAGAUGUAGGCUGUAAAACAACACAUAAUUGAUGUGAUAAUUUGUAUGCACCUUGUCAGUGGAUCGGAUGCUCUUGCUCCAUACGAUCAUAAAGGAAAUCUAAAAUGAACUUCACCCA
This is a long non-coding RNA of Helianthus annuus (common sunflower), 689 nucleotides long. RefSeq lists it as uncharacterized. The transcript has 2 exons. The record is from RefSeq and is a predicted model, not a curated record. Lineage: Eukaryota; Viridiplantae; Streptophyta; Magnoliopsida; Asterales; Asteraceae.